RNAcentral lists this ribosomal RNA (429 nucleotides) under Bacteroidota bacterium. RNAcentral describes it as "Bacteroidetes bacterium partial 16S ribosomal RNA". It matches the Rfam family "Bacterial small subunit ribosomal RNA", at positions 355 to 776 of the family's 1533-position model. The record is from RNAcentral. Lineage: Bacteria; Pseudomonadati; Bacteroidota.
UAGGGAAUCUUCCGCAAUGGACGCAAGUCUGACGGAGCAACGCCGCGUGAGUGAAGAAGGAUUUCGGUUCGUAAAACUCUGUUGUUAGAGAAGAACAGCGCAUAGAGUAACUGUUAUGCGUGUGACGGUAUCUAACCAGAAAGCCACGGCUAACUACGUGCCAGCAGCCGCGGUAAUACGUAGGUGGCAAGCGUUGUCCGGAUUUAUUGGGCGUAAAGCGAGCGCAGGCGGUCAAUUAAGUCUGAUGUGAAAGCCCCCGGCUCAACCGGGGAGGGUCAUUGGAAACUGGUUGACUUGAGUGCAGAAGAGAAGAGUGGAAUUCCAUGUGUAGCGGUGACAUGCGUAGAUAUAUGGGGGAACACCAGUGGCGAAGGCGACUCUCUGGUCUGUAACUGACGCUGAGGCUCGAAAGCGUGGGGAGCGAACAGG